AGAGUGAACGCUGGCGGUAGGCCUAACACAUGCAAGUCGAACGGCAGCACAGUGGUAGCAAUACCAUGGGUGGCGAGUGGCGGACGGGUGAGGAAUACAUCGGAAUCUACCUUUUCGUGGGGGAUAACGUAGGGAAACUUACGCUAAUACCGCAUACGCCCUUCGGGGGAAAGCCGGGGAUCGCAAGACCUGGCGCGGAUAGAUGAGCCGAUGUCGGAUUAGCUAGUUGGUGAGGUAAUGGCUCACCAAGGCGACGAUCCGUAGCUGGUCUGAGAGGAUGAUCAGCCACACUGGAACUGAGACACGGUCCAGACUCCUACGGGAGCAGCAGUGGGAAUAUUGGACAAUGGGCGCAAGCCUGAUCCAGCCAUACCGCGUGGGUGAAGAAGGCCUUCGGUAGUAAAGUCCCUUUUAGU
This 416-nucleotide ribosomal RNA is filed under the name uncultured soil bacterium. Its description in RNAcentral is "bacterial SSU rRNA". It matches the Rfam family "Bacterial small subunit ribosomal RNA", at positions 26 to 441 of the family's 1533-position model. The record is from RNAcentral.